Long non-coding RNA from Perognathus longimembris pacificus (Pacific pocket mouse), 137 nucleotides. RefSeq lists it as uncharacterized. The transcript is spliced from 3 exons. The record is from RefSeq and is a predicted model, not a curated record. NCBI's taxonomy places the organism in Eukaryota, Metazoa, Chordata, Mammalia, Rodentia, Heteromyidae.
CCUGGUUUAUCAACAUACAGGACAUCUUUAGUAGUUAUGAAUUAUCAUAAUUUAAUGAGUUGAAAUCAAUUGUUUUAGCAUAAACUAACUACUAUAUUCAUUUCCUUCUAGGCCUUUUUGAGAUCAUUCAUAUGCUA